GCCCAACAGCUAGCCCACCUAAACAAUUUCAACAAACCCUUGUCAAUAACCCCUAAAUACCCCAGUAUUUAAAUUAAACAAACCAUUUUUCCCCCUUAGUAUAGGCGAUAGAAAAGGGACUACGGCGCAAUAGAGAAAGUACCGCAAGGGAACGCUGAAAGAGAAAUGAAAUAACCCAGUAAAGCCCAAAAAAGCAGAGAUUCAACCUCGUACCUUUUGCAUCAUGAUUUAGCGAGUGUACCCCAAGCAAAGAGCACUUUAGUUUGACGUCCCGAAACUACGUGAGCUACUCCAAGACAGCCUAUUAAUAGGGCGUACCCGUCUCUGUUGCAAAAGAGUGGGGAGAGCUUUGAGUAGAGGUGACAAACCUACCGAACCUAGUUAUAGCUGGUUGUCCAAGAAAUGAAUAGAAGUUCAGCCUCUUGGCUUCUCUUUUCACCCUAGUUUAACCCCUAUUGAUGCAUUAAAGAAACCGAGAGAGUUAGUCAAAGGGGGUACAGCCCCUUUGAAUCAAGACACAACUUUAUCAGGAGGGU
Molecule: ribosomal RNA, 536 nt
Filed under: Myoxocephalus scorpius (shorthorn sculpin)
Lineage: Eukaryota; Metazoa; Chordata; Actinopteri; Perciformes; Cottidae
Description: partial 16S ribosomal RNA
Rfam family: Bacterial large subunit ribosomal RNA
Source: RNAcentral